Molecule: small RNA, 31 nt
Filed under: Bombyx mori (domestic silkworm)
Lineage: Eukaryota; Metazoa; Arthropoda; Insecta; Lepidoptera; Bombycidae
Description: ovarian small RNA-37686
Source: RNAcentral
UUGACGACAGUCAGCGUGCAGCUGGGCCGCC